RNAcentral lists this ribosomal RNA (482 nucleotides) under uncultured bacterium. RNAcentral describes it as "bacterial SSU rRNA". It matches the Rfam family "Bacterial small subunit ribosomal RNA", at positions 903 to 1397 of the family's 1533-position model. The record is from RNAcentral.
AAAGGAAUAGACGGGGACCCGCACAAGCAGUGGAUCAUGCGGUUUAAUUCGAUACUAAACGAGAAACCUCACCUAGGCUUGACAUUGAUAAAAUCCACCAGAAAUGGAGGAGUGCCCGCAAGGGAAUUUGAAAACAGGUGCUGCAUGGUUGUCGUCAGCUCGUGCCUUGAGGUGUUCGGUUAAGUCCGUUAACGAGCGCAACCCAUGUCGAUAGUUAUUAUGUCUAUCGAGACUGCUCGAGUUAAUCGAGAGGAAGGUGUGGAUGACGUCAAAUCAGCAUGGCCCUUAUGCCUAGGGCUACACGCAUGAUACAAUGGUCGGUACAAAGGGUUGCGACAUGGUAACAUUGAGCCAAUCCCAGAAAGCCGAUCUCAGUCCAGAUUGGGGGCUGCAACUCGCCCCCAUGAAGUUGGAAUUGCUAGUAAUCGUGAAUCAGCUAUGUCACGGUGAAUCUGUUCCCGGGUCUUGUACACACCGCCCGU